ACUCAAAUGAAUUGACGGGGACCCGCACAACCUGUGGAGCGUGUGGUUUAAUUCGAGACGAAACGAAGGACCUCACCAGGGCUUGACAUACUAUCGUUUAUUUUCCUGGAAACAGGGAGAAAUCCGCAAGGAUGAUAGUACAGGUGCUGCAUGGCUGUCGUCAGCUCGUGCCGUGAGGUGUUCCCUUAAGUGGGGAAACGAGCGCAACCCCCAUCCAAUGUUACACUGUUCAUUGGAAACUGACUUUACUUUGUAAAGAAGGAAGGAGGGGUAGACGUCAAGUCAGCACGGCCCUUAUGCCCUGGGCCACACACACACUACAAUGGCGAAGAACAACGAGUUGCAACACGGCGACGUGAAGCUAAUCUCUAAAAUUUCGCCUCAGUUCAGAUCGGAGUCUGAAACCCGACUCCGUGAAGCCGGAAUAGGUAGUAAUCGCGGAUCAGCAAGCCGCGGUGAAUACGUUCUCGGGUCUUGUACACACCGCCCGU
This 491-nucleotide ribosomal RNA is filed under the name uncultured bacterium. Its description in RNAcentral is "partial 16S ribosomal RNA". It matches the Rfam family "Bacterial small subunit ribosomal RNA", at positions 899 to 1397 of the family's 1533-position model. The record is from RNAcentral.